RNAcentral lists this microRNA precursor (124 nucleotides) under Hordeum vulgare. RNAcentral describes it as "microRNA MIR1122". It matches the Rfam family "MIR1120/MIR1122 microRNA precursor family". Lineage: Eukaryota; Viridiplantae; Streptophyta; Magnoliopsida; Poales; Poaceae. The record is from RNAcentral.
AAAAUACUCCCUCCGUCUGGAAAUACUUGUCCUAGAAAUGGAUAUAAUGGAUGUAUCUAUAGCUAAAAUAAGUCUAGAUACAUUCAUCUUUAGGACAAGUAUUUCCGGAUGGAGGGAGUAUAUC